Molecule: ribosomal RNA, 468 nt
Filed under: uncultured bacterium
Lineage: Bacteria
Description: partial 16S ribosomal RNA
Rfam family: Bacterial small subunit ribosomal RNA
Source: RNAcentral
GAUGAACGCUGGCGGCGUGCUUAACACAUGCAAGUCGAACGGAAAGGCCGAAGCUUGCUUCGGUACUCGAGUGGCGAACGGGUGAGUAACACGUGGGUGAUCUGCCCUGUACUUCGGGAUAAGCUUGGGAAACUGGGUCUAAUACCGGAUAUGACGAUCUCUUGGAUGGGGUUGUGGAAAGCUUUUGCGGUAUGGGAUGAGCUCGCGGCCUAUCAGCUUGUUGGUGGGGUAAUGGCCUACCAAGGCGUCGACGGGUAGCCGGCCUGGGAGGGUGUACGGCCACAUUGGGACUGAGAUACGGCCCAGACUCCUACGGGAGGCAGCAGUGAGGAAUAUUGCACAAUGGGCGCAAGCCUGAUGCAGCGACGCCGCGUGGGGGAUGACGGCCUUCGGGUUGUAAACUCCUUUCGCAAUCGACGAAGCCUUUUGGUGACGGUAGGUUGAGAAGAAGCACCGGCUAACUACGUG